This 219-nucleotide small RNA is filed under the name Oryza sativa Japonica Group (Japanese rice). RNAcentral describes it as "misc RNA Os8bglu28". The record is from RNAcentral. Lineage: Eukaryota; Viridiplantae; Streptophyta; Magnoliopsida; Poales; Poaceae.
UGAUUCGAUCCGAUCUAUAUCUCCAGUGUACUCGAUGAAGCUAGCUUCAGGCAGCUGCCUUUUUUUUUCUUUUUUCUUUUAAAAUAAGAGAGAGAGGCAAGGCUAGGCAGGCAGCUGAUAGAAUUACCAAACCUGAUGUGUGCAGUGUGCUGCCCAAAUAAUUGCCAUGUGCAUGGAAAAUGAUUGUGUUUUCUCAUGGAUAUUGAUUUGAUUACUGGU